AGUUUAAAUAGAGCAUGAGACUCUUAAUCUCAGGGUCGUGGGUUCAAGCCCCAC
RNAcentral lists this transfer RNA (54 nucleotides) under Erinaceus europaeus (western European hedgehog). It matches the Rfam family "tRNA", at positions 9 to 63 of the family's 71-position model. Rfam says of the family: Transfer RNA (tRNA) molecules are approximately 80 nucleotides in length. The record is from Rfam by way of RNAcentral. Lineage: Eukaryota; Metazoa; Chordata; Mammalia; Eulipotyphla; Erinaceidae.